Molecule: RNase P RNA, 556 nt
Filed under: Candidatus Kerfeldbacteria bacterium RIFCSPLOWO2_01_FULL_48_11
Lineage: Bacteria; Candidatus Kerfeldiibacteriota
Also listed under: 1 other name
Description: RNase P RNA component class A
Rfam family: Bacterial RNase P class A
About the family: Ribonuclease P (RNase P) is a ubiquitous endoribonuclease, found in archaea, bacteria and eukarya as well as chloroplasts and mitochondria. Its best characterised activity is the generation of mature 5'-ends of tRNAs by cleaving the 5'-leader elements of precursor-tRNAs.
Source: RNAcentral
CAAGUCAACUAGAUGAUUGCUCUUAAAAAAUCCACCUUACCGUGGGUUGCUAGGGGAGGAAAGUCCGAACACCCUCCUUUGUUACGUCAAGUAGCAAAGGUGCCAAGGAUAGUCGUUAAUGGCGACCAGGAGCAGAAAUGGGCAGAAGUUCUAUAGUCUUCUGGCUGUUUUCAAGCCUCGGGAUAGUACCCCGCAUCGCGGGGUUUCGUUAAGAACAGUUCUUAUCGAAGCAACAGAAACAUACCGCCCACCUUCGUCCCGCAUCGCGGGACUUCGGCGAGGUAAGGGUGAAAUCGUGCGUCCUGAACGCGCAAGCGGGAGGGAAUAGUCCUGCCUACGGCGGGAUGAAGUAAGAGCGCACGCGUUACCUAUGUGAAUAGGGACGGAGCAAACCCUAUCCGGUGUAAAGUCAAAUAAGUCAAGCUCAGCUUGAUGGGUUGACUGCAUGAUCUCGUCAGCAAUGGCGAGGCAAGAGAGAUGAUCAUCAUCCGCCCUGUCUGCCUUCAGGCAGACGAUGAGGCGGAAACAGAAUUCGGCUUAUCGGUUGACUUGGGAA